Molecule: long non-coding RNA, 199 nt
Filed under: Hordeum vulgare
Lineage: Eukaryota; Viridiplantae; Streptophyta; Magnoliopsida; Poales; Poaceae
Description: long non-coding RNA (HVUL_LNC000076)
Source: RNAcentral
UGAAGGGGCCCCAGAAAAUCGAACCCAAAUCUGCGGAAGGGCAACACCUUGUGGCUCUUCACUCGACCAUGCAUCAAACUCCAACACGCAACUGGUGCUUGGCACUCUGCACAUACCAAACUUAAGCAAACGUGCGAGGUCCUCCUUAGUGGGAAAGACAACUUUGAACACAUUCUCAGCAAUCAGCACGGGCUCCCAC